AUACGGAGGGUGCAAGCGUUAAUCGGAAUUACUGGGCGUAAAGCGUACGUAGGCGGUUCGUUAAGUUAGAUGUGAAAGCCCCGGGCUUAACAUGGGAACUGCAUUUAAAACUGGCGAACUAGAGUUGAGUAGAGGGGAGUGGAAUUUCAGGUGUAGCGGUGAAAUGCGUAGAGAUCUGAAGGAACACCAGUGGCGAAGGCGACUCCCUGGACUCAAACUGACGCUGAGGUACGAAAGCGUGGGUAGCAAACGGGAUUAGAAACCCUAGUAGUCC
RNAcentral lists this ribosomal RNA (274 nucleotides) under uncultured bacterium. Its description in RNAcentral is "partial 16S ribosomal RNA". It matches the Rfam family "Bacterial small subunit ribosomal RNA", at positions 523 to 796 of the family's 1533-position model. The record is from RNAcentral.